GAGGGUACAGUUCAGCGGUAGAGUGCGUGCUUAGCAUGCACGUGGUCCUAGGUUCAAUCCCUAGUACCUCCA
This 72-nucleotide transfer RNA is filed under the name Camelus bactrianus (Bactrian camel). It matches the Rfam family "tRNA". From Rfam's summary of the family: Transfer RNA (tRNA) molecules are approximately 80 nucleotides in length. RNAcentral also lists the same sequence under 2 other names. Lineage: Eukaryota; Metazoa; Chordata; Mammalia; Artiodactyla; Camelidae. The record is from Rfam by way of RNAcentral.